GAGAGUGUGGCUCAGUUGGUAGAGCAACGGACUUUUAAUCCGUAGGUCAUGGGUUCGAGCCCCAUCACUCUCA
This 73-nucleotide transfer RNA is filed under the name Planctomycetaceae bacterium. Its description in RNAcentral is "tRNA-Lys". It matches the Rfam family "tRNA". Rfam says of the family: Transfer RNA (tRNA) molecules are approximately 80 nucleotides in length. Their secondary structure includes four short double-helical elements and three loops (D, anti-codon, and T loops). Lineage: Bacteria; Pseudomonadati; Planctomycetota; Planctomycetia; Planctomycetales; Planctomycetaceae. The record is from RNAcentral.